Molecule: long non-coding RNA, 466 nt
Organism: Schistocerca serialis cubense
Lineage: Eukaryota; Metazoa; Arthropoda; Insecta; Orthoptera; Acrididae
Exons: 5
Source: RefSeq, a predicted model, not a curated record
UCAGCCGUGACGCAAGCGCUGAGCAGUCCGCUGCGUUCGGUUGCGGCGUCGGCGUGUGCACAGGGGUCGCGCGCCACAACUGCUAUCAGCGUCGCAUGCUGUGCUGUGUCGGGGUCGGCUGACGCCCCACGUCUCUGUCACUGAAGUCGCCGUGUUUGACGUGCCGGCGGCUGCCUCUUGAAUGGGACGGCGGCUGGUGGCGGCGGCGCAGCCAGACACCGUGGACAGAUUGCCGAGCAGUAAAAGUCUCCUCUAAAUCGACGCAGUGGGUUUCAGCAGACACGCGGCCGGCGCCAUGGCGAUGGGGUGCGGCGCCACCUGCGCCAAGAUCUCCCUGGUCGCCUUCAACCUCGUUUUCUGGGUGGUGGGAUGCUGCGUGCUGGCGCUGUCGGGCUGGUGGCUGCUGGACGUGCCGCGCAGCCACCUGUUCGCGCUGCUGGCCACGCCGCAGGUCCCCGGCGAGGCG